UACGGAGGGUGCAAGCGUUACCCGGAAUUACUGGGCGUAAAGGGCUCGUAGGCGGCCAACUAAGUCAGACGUGAAAUCCCUCGGCUUAACCGGGGAACUGCGUCUGAUACUGGAUGGCUUGAAUCCGGGAGAGGGAUGCGGAAUUCCAGGUGUAGCGGUGAAAUGCGUAGAUAUCUGGAGGAACACCGGUGGCGAAGGCGGCAUCCUGGACCGGCAUUGACGCUGAGGAGCGAAAGCCAGGGGAGCAAACGGG
RNAcentral lists this ribosomal RNA (253 nucleotides) under uncultured bacterium. RNAcentral describes it as "partial 16S ribosomal RNA". It matches the Rfam family "Bacterial small subunit ribosomal RNA", at positions 524 to 776 of the family's 1533-position model. The record is from RNAcentral.